This 815-nucleotide ribosomal RNA is filed under the name uncultured bacterium. RNAcentral's name for it is "bacterial SSU rRNA". It matches the Rfam family "Bacterial small subunit ribosomal RNA", at positions 21 to 877 of the family's 1533-position model. The record is from RNAcentral.
GGCUCAGGACGAACGCUGGCGGUGUGCUUCACACAUGCAAGUCGAACGGGGUAGCAAUACCCAGUGGCGGACGGGUGAGUAACACGUGGGAAUCUGCCUUCAGAUGGGGGAUAGCUGGCCGAAAGGCCAAUUAAUACCCCAUAUGCCGCAAGGUAAAAGGAGUAAUCCGUCUGAAGAUGAGCCCGCGCCCGAUUAGCUAGUUGGUAGGGUAAAGGCCUACCAAGGCUCCGAUCGGUAGCUGGUCUGAGAGGAUGAUCAGCCACAAUGGGACUGAGACACGGCCCAUACUCCUACGGGAGGCAGCAGUGGGGAAUUUUACGCAAUGGGGGAAACCCUGACGUAGCGACACCGCGUGAGCGAUGAAGCCCUUUGGGGUGUAAAGCUCUGUCAACAGGGACGAAAAAAAUGACGGUACCUGUGGAGGAAGCAUCGGCUAACUACGUGCCAGCAGCCGCGGUAAGACGUAGGAUGCGAGCGUUGUCCGGAUUUAUUGGGCGUAAAGAGUUCGUAGGUGGUUUGUUAAGUCUGGUGUUAAAUACUGAAGCUCAACUUCGGAACUGCACUGGAUACUGGCAGACUUGAGUACGGUAGAGGCGAGUGGAAUUCCCAGUGUAGCGGUGAAAUGCGUAGAUAUUGGGAAGAACACCGGUGGCGCAAGCGACUCGCUGGGCCGUUACUGACACUGAGGAACGAAAGCUAGGGGAGCAAAUGGGAUUAGAUACCCCAGUAGUCCUAGCUGUAAACGAUGGAUACUAGGCGUUGUGGGUAUCGACCCCUACAGUGCCGCAGCUAACGCGAUAAGUAUCCCGCCUGAG